RNAcentral lists this ribosomal RNA (333 nucleotides) under Coptorhina klugii. RNAcentral's name for it is "eukaryotic LSU rRNA". It matches the Rfam family "Eukaryotic large subunit ribosomal RNA", at positions 656 to 954 of the family's 3401-position model. Lineage: Eukaryota; Metazoa; Arthropoda; Insecta; Coleoptera; Scarabaeidae. The record is from RNAcentral.
GAAACACGGACCAAGGAGUCUAGCAUGUGCGCGAGUCAUUGGGACUCUGACUAAACCUAAAGGCGCAAUGAAAGUAAAGGUCCGCCUCGCGCGGACCGAGGGAGGAUGGGUCGGCCCUCGGGUCGGCCCCGCACUCCCGGGGCGUCUCGUUCUCAUCGCGAGAAGAGGCGCACCCAGAGCGUACACGCUGGGACCCGAAAGAUGGUGAACUAUGCCUGGUCAGGACGAAGUCAGGGGAAACCCUGAUGGAGGUCCGUAGCGAUUCUGACGUGCAAAUCGAUCGUCGGAACUGGGUAUAGGGGCGAAAGACUAAUCGAACCAUCUAGUAGCUGG